RNAcentral lists this ribosomal RNA (999 nucleotides) under uncultured organism. RNAcentral's name for it is "bacterial SSU rRNA". It matches the Rfam family "Bacterial small subunit ribosomal RNA", at positions 356 to 1376 of the family's 1533-position model. The record is from RNAcentral.
GGGGAAUAUUGCACAAUGGAGGAAACUCUGAUGCAGCGAUGCCGCGUGAGGGAAGAAGGUUUUAGGAUUGUAAACCUCUGUCUUCAGGGACGAAAAAAGGACGGUACCUGAGGAGGAAGCUCCGGCUAACUACGUGCCAGCAGCCGCGGUAAUACGUAGGGAGCGAGCGUUGUCCGGAAUUACUGGGUGUAAAGGGAGCGUAGGCGGGAUCGCAAGUCAGAUGUGAAAACUAUGGGCUUAACCCAUAAACUGCAUUUGAAACUGUGGUUCUUGAGUGAAGUAGAGGUAAGCGGAAUUCCUAGUGUAGCGGUGAAAUGCGUAGAUAUUAGGAGGAACAUCAGUGGCGAAGGCGGCUUACUGGGCUUUAACUGACGCUGAGGCUCGAAAGCGUGGGGAGCAAACAGGAUUAGAUACCCUGGUAGUCCACGCCGUAAACGAUGAUUACUAGGUGUGGGGGGACUGACCCCUUCCGUGCCGCAGCAAACGCAAUAAGUAAUCCACCUGGGGAGUACGACCGCAAGGUUGAAACUCAAAGGAAUUGACGGGGGCCCGCACAAGCAGUGGAGUAUGUGGAUUAAUUCGAAGCAACGCAAAGAACCUUACCAGGUCUUGACAUCGUAUGCAUAGCUCAGAGAUGAGUGAAAUCUCUUCGGAGACAUAUAGACAGGUGGUGCAUGGUUGUCGUCAGCUCGUGUCGUGAGAUGUUGGGUUAAGUCCCGCAACGAGCGCAACCCUUACUGUUAGUUGCUACGCAAGAGCACUCUAGCAGGACUGCCGUUGACAAAACGGAGGAAGGUGGGGAUGACGUCAAAUCAUCAUGCCCCUUAUGACCUGGGCCUCACACGUACUACAAUGGCUGUAAACAGAGGGAAGCAAAGCCGCGAGGUAGAGCGAACCCCUAAAAGCAGUCUUAGUUCGGAUUGUAGGCUGCAACCCGCCUACAUGAAGUCGGAAUUGCUAGUAAUCGCAGAUCAGCAUGCUGCGGUGAAUACGUUCCCG